UGAGGAACAUGACCUUCGGCGGGGGAGUAGCCGGCCCAACGGCCGGGUAAUACCGCGUACGACCACUUGGGGACAUCCUCGAGUGGUGAAAGCAGCAAUGCGCCGAUGAAGUGCCUCGCGGCCUAUCAGCUAGUUGGUGGGGUAACGGCUCACCAAGGCGACGACGGGUAGCUGGUCUGAGAGGAUGGCCAGCCACAUUGGGACUGAGACACGGCCCAGACUCCGUACGGGAGCA
This 235-nucleotide ribosomal RNA is filed under the name uncultured bacterium. RNAcentral describes it as "partial 16S ribosomal RNA". It matches the Rfam family "Bacterial small subunit ribosomal RNA", at positions 118 to 347 of the family's 1533-position model. The record is from RNAcentral.